RNAcentral lists this ribosomal RNA (497 nucleotides) under uncultured bacterium. RNAcentral's name for it is "partial 16S ribosomal RNA". It matches the Rfam family "Bacterial small subunit ribosomal RNA", at positions 28 to 507 of the family's 1533-position model. The record is from RNAcentral.
GAUGAACGCUGGCGGCGUGCCUAAUACAUGCAAGUCGAGCGAACAGACGAGGAUCUUGCUCCUCUGACGUUAGCGGCGGACGGGUGAGUAACACGUGGAUAACCUACCUAUAAGACUGGGAUAACUUCGGGAAACCGGAGCUAAUACCGGAUAAUAUAUUGAACCGCAUGGUUCAAUAGUGAAAGACGGUUUUGCUGUCACUUAUAGAUGUAUCCGCGCCGCAUUAGCUAGUUGGUAAGGUAACGGCUUACCAAGGCGACGAUGCGUAGCCGACCUGAGAGGGUGAUCGGCCACACUGGAACUGAGACACGGUCCAGACUCCUACGGGAGGCAGCAGUAGGGAAUCUUCCGCAAUGGGCGAAAGCCUGACGGAGCAACGCCGCGUGAGUGAUGAAGGUCUUCGGAUCGUAAAACUCUGUUAUUAGGGAAGAACAAAUGUGUAAGUAACUAUGCACGUCUUGACGGUACCUAAUCAGAAAGCCACGGCUAACUACGUG